This 1344-nucleotide ribosomal RNA is filed under the name Staphylococcus aureus. RNAcentral's name for it is "bacterial SSU rRNA". It matches the Rfam family "Bacterial small subunit ribosomal RNA", at positions 202 to 1533 of the family's 1533-position model. Lineage: Bacteria; Bacillati; Bacillota; Bacilli; Caryophanales; Staphylococcaceae. The record is from RNAcentral.
AAAGACGGUCUUGCUGUCACUUAUAGAUGGAUCCGCGCUGCAUUAGCUAGUUGGUAAGGUAACGGCUUACCAAGGCAACGAUGCAUAGCCGACCUGAGAGGGUGAUCGGCCACACUGGAACUGAGACACGGUCCAGACUCCUACGGGAGGCAGCAGUAGGGAAUCUUCCGCAAUGGGCGAAAGCCUGACGGAGCAACGCCGCGUGAGUGAUGAAGGUCUUCGGAUCGUAAAACUCUGUUAUUAGGGAAGAACAUAUGUGUAAGUAACUGUGCACAUCUUGACGGUACCUAAUCAGAAAGCCACGGCUAACUACGUGCCAGCAGCCGCGGUAAUACGUAGGUGGCAAGCGUUAUCCGGAAUUAUUGGGCGUAAAGCGCGCGUAGGCGGUUUUUUAAGUCUGAUGUGAAAGCCCACGGCUCAACCGUGGAGGGUCAUUGGAAACUGGAAAACUUGAGUGCAGAAGAGGAAAGUGGAAUUCCAUGUGUAGCGGUGAAAUGCGCAGAGAUAUGGAGGAACACCAGUGGCGAAGGCGACUUUCUGGUCUGUAACUGACGCUGAUGUGCGAAAGCGUGGGGAUCAAACAGGAUUAGAUACCCUGGUAGUCCACGCCGUAAACGAUGAGUGCUAAGUGUUAGGGGGUUUCCGCCCCUUAGUGCUGCAGCUAACGCAUUAAGCACUCCGCCUGGGGAGUACGACCGCAAGGUUGAAACUCAAAGGAAUUGACGGGGACCCGCACAAGCGGUGGAGCAUGUGGUUUAAUUCGAAGCAACGCGAAGAACCUUACCAAAUCUUGACAUCCUUUGACAACUCUAGAGAUAGAGCCUUCCCCUUCGGGGGACAAAGUGACAGGUGGUGCAUGGUUGUCGUCAGCUCGUGUCGUGAGAUGUUGGGUUAAGUCCCGCAACGAGCGCAACCCUUAAGCUUAGUUGCCAUCAUUAAGUUGGGCACUCUAAGUUGACUGCCGGUGACAAACCGGAGGAAGGUGGGGAUGACGUCAAAUCAUCAUGCCCCUUAUGAUUUGGGCUACACACGUGCUACAAUGGACAAUACAAAGGGCAGCGAAACCGCGAGGUCAAGCAAAUCCCAUAAAGUUGUUCUCAGUUCGGAUUGUAGUCUGCAACUCGACUACAUGAAGCUGGAAUCGCUAGUAAUCGUAGAUCAGCAUGCUACGGUGAAUACGUUCCCGGGUCUUGUACACACCGCCCGUCACACCACGAGAGUUUGUAACACCCGAAGCCGGUGGAGUAACCUUUUAGGAGCUAGCCGUCGAAGGUGGGACAAAUGAUUGGGGUGAAGUCGUAACAAGGUAGCCGUAUCGGAAGGUGCGGCUGGAUCACCUCCUUU